This 943-nucleotide ribosomal RNA is filed under the name uncultured bacterium. RNAcentral describes it as "bacterial SSU rRNA". It matches the Rfam family "Bacterial small subunit ribosomal RNA", at positions 1 to 927 of the family's 1533-position model. The record is from RNAcentral.
UCGCCCUUAGAGUUUGAUCCUGGCUCAGAUUGAACGCUGGCGGAACGCUUUACACAUGCAAGUCGAACGGUAACGCGGAGAGAAGCUUGCUUCUCUCCGGCGACGAGUGGCGAACGGGUGAGUAAUACAUCGGAACGUGUCCGCUCGUGGGGGACAACCAGCCGAAAGGUUGGCUAAUACCGCAUGAGUUCUACGGAAGAAAGAGGGGGACCCGCAAGGGCCUCUCGCGAGCGGAGCGGCCGAUGACUGAUUAGCCUGUUGGUGAGGUAACGGCUCACCAAAGCAACGAUCAGUAGCUGGUCUGAGAGGACGACCAGCCACACUGGGACUGAGACACGGCCCAGACUCCUACGGGAGGCAGCAGUGGGGAAUUUUGGACAAUGGGCGCAAGCCUGAUCCAGCUAUUCCGCGUGUGGGAUGAAGGCCCUCGGGUUGUAAACCACUUCUGUAGAGAACGAAAAGACACCUUCGAAUAAAGGGUGUUGCUGACGGUACUCUAAGAAUAAGCACCGGCUAACUACGUGCCAGCAGCCGCGGUAAUACGUAGGGUGCGAGCGUUAAUCGGAAUUACUGGGCGUAAAGGGUGCGCAGGCGGUUGAGUAAGACAGAUGUGAAAUCCCCGAGCUUAACUCGGGAAUGGCAUAUGUGACUGCUCGACUAGAGUGUGUCAGAGGGAGGUGGAAUUCCACGUGUAGCAGUGAAAUGCGUAGAUAUGUGGAAGAACACCGAUGGCGAAGGCAGCCUCCUGGGACAUAACUGACGCUCAGGCACGAAAGCGUGGGGAGCAAACAGGAUUAGAUACCCUGGUAGUCCACGCCCUAAACGAUGUUAACUAGUUGUUGGGAAGUAAUAUUCUCAGUAACGCAGCCAACGCGAGAAGUUAACCGCCUGGGAAGUACGGUCGCAAGACAUUAACUCAAAUGAAUUGACGAAGGGCGAAUUC